This 228-nucleotide unclassified non-coding RNA is filed under the name uncultured fungus. RNAcentral describes it as "sequence contains ITS1, 5.8S rRNA gene". The stretch from base 180 to 228 matches the Rfam family "5.8S ribosomal RNA", at positions 1 to 49 of the family's 154-position model. The record is from RNAcentral. Lineage: Eukaryota; Fungi.
UUUCCGUAGGUGAACCUGCGGAAGGAUCAUUAUUGAGCCCUGCCCUCACGGGUAGACCUCCAACCCUUUGUGAAUCGUACUCGUUGCUUCGGGGGCGACCCUGCCGUCCGCGGCUGAGCGCCCCCGGGGUCAAUCAAACACUGCAUUCUCUGCGUCGGAGUAUUAGUAAAUCUAAUCAAAACUUUCAACAACGGAUCUCUUGGUUCUGGCAUCGAUGAAGAACGCAGC